CCUACGGGAGGCAGCAGUGGGGAAUUUUCCGCAAUGGGCGAAAGCCUGACGGAGCAACGCCGCGUGAGGGAUGAAGGCCUCUGGGCUGUAAACCUCUUUUAUCAAGGAAGAAGAUCUGACGGUACUUGAUGAAUAAGCCACGGCUAAUUCCGUGCCAGCAGCCGCGGUAAUACGGGAGUGGCAAGCGUUAUCCGGAAUUAUUGGGCGUAAAGCGUCCGCAGGCGGUCUUGUAAGUCUGUCGUUAAAGCGUGGAGCUUAACUCCAUUUCGGCGGUGGAAACUACAAGACUAGAGUGUGGUAGGGGCAGAGGGAAUUCCCGGUGUAGCGGUGAAAUGCGUAGAUAUCGGGAAGAACACCAGUGGCGAAGGCGCUCUGCUGGGCCAUAACUGACGCUCAUGGACGAAAGCUAGGGGAGCGAAAGGGAUUAGAUACCCCUGUAGUCCUAGCCGUAAACGAUGAACACUAGGUGUCGGGGGAAUCGACCCCUCGGUGUCGUAGCUAACGCGUUAAGUGUUCCGCCUGGGGAGUACGCACGCAAGUGUGAAACUCAAAGGAAUUGACGG
Molecule: ribosomal RNA, 563 nt
Filed under: uncultured bacterium
Lineage: Bacteria
Description: bacterial SSU rRNA
Rfam family: Bacterial small subunit ribosomal RNA
Source: RNAcentral